GGGGCUGUGGCGCAAUUGGUAGCGCGUGAGACUCCAGAUCUCAAGGUUGCCCGAUCGAGACGGACCAGCCUCA
RNAcentral lists this transfer RNA (73 nucleotides) under Aspergillus aurantiobrunneus. RNAcentral describes it as "tRNA-Trp". It matches the Rfam family "tRNA". Rfam says of the family: Transfer RNA (tRNA) molecules are approximately 80 nucleotides in length. The record is from RNAcentral. RNAcentral also lists the same sequence under 4 other names. Lineage: Eukaryota; Fungi; Ascomycota; Eurotiomycetes; Eurotiales; Aspergillaceae.